UACGUAGGGUGCAAGCGUUGUCCGGAAUUAUUGGGCGUAAAGAGCUCGUAGGCGGUUUGUCGCGUCUGCUGUGAAAACUCGGGGCUUAACCCCGGGCCUGCAGUGGGUACGGGCAGACUAGAGUGCGGUAGGGGAGACUGGAAUUCCUGGUGUAGCGGUGAAAUGCGCAGAUAUCAGGAGGAACACCGGUGGCGAAGGCGGGUCUCUGGGCCGUAACUGACGCUGAGGAGCGAAAGCUCGGGGAGCAAACAGG
This 253-nucleotide ribosomal RNA is filed under the name uncultured bacterium. RNAcentral's name for it is "partial 16S ribosomal RNA". It matches the Rfam family "Bacterial small subunit ribosomal RNA", at positions 524 to 776 of the family's 1533-position model. The record is from RNAcentral.